This 270-nucleotide unclassified non-coding RNA is filed under the name uncultured fungus. RNAcentral's name for it is "sequence contains ITS1, 5.8S rRNA gene". The stretch from base 222 to 270 matches the Rfam family "5.8S ribosomal RNA", at positions 1 to 49 of the family's 154-position model. Lineage: Eukaryota; Fungi. The record is from RNAcentral.
UCUCCGUUGGUGAACCAGCGGAGGGAUCAUUGCUGGAACAAACGCCCUCACGGGUGCUACCCAGAAACCCUUUGUGAACUUUCUAUAACACUGUUGCCUCGGCAUGGACUGGCCCUUCUAUGAGGGUCCCUCUUUUCGGAGAGGAGCAGGUCGGCCGGUGGCCCUAUAAACUCUUUGUUUUUACACUGUAUCUUCUGAGUAAACAACUAUAAAUGAAUCAAAACUUUUAACAACGGAUCUCUUGGUUCUGGCAUCGAUGAAGAACGCAGC